RNAcentral lists this unclassified non-coding RNA (263 nucleotides) under uncultured Sordariomycetes. RNAcentral describes it as "sequence contains 5.8S rRNA gene, ITS2, 28S rRNA gene". The stretch from base 1 to 52 matches the Rfam family "5.8S ribosomal RNA", at positions 103 to 154 of the family's 154-position model. Lineage: Eukaryota; Fungi; Ascomycota; Sordariomycetes. The record is from RNAcentral.
AACGCAUAUUGCGCCCGCCAGUACUCUGGCGGGCACGCCUGUUUGAGCGUCGUUUCACCACUCGGGCUUUUUCCGGUCCGGCGUCGGGGUGCUGUGGUCCUACCCGCAGGCCCCAAGAUAUAGCGGCGGACCAACCGCGGUCCUGAGCGCAGUACAAAGUCUCGCUCUGGCGGCCGCGGCGUGGCCUUGCCCCAGUAAUGGCAUGCCUCGACGUGCCGUCAUAAGUCGACCUCAAAUCAGGCGGGACUACCCGCUGAACUUAA